Molecule: ribosomal RNA, 390 nt
Filed under: Pseudomonas brassicacearum
Lineage: Bacteria; Pseudomonadati; Pseudomonadota; Gammaproteobacteria; Pseudomonadales; Pseudomonadaceae
Description: bacterial SSU rRNA
Rfam family: Bacterial small subunit ribosomal RNA
Source: RNAcentral
GUCGGAUUAGCUAGUUGGUGGGGUAAUGGCUCACCAAGGCGACGAUCCGUAACUGGUCUGAGAGGAUGAUCAGUCACACUGGAACUGAGACACGGUCCAGACUCCUACGGGAGGCAGCAGUGGGGAAUAUUGGACAAUGGGCGAAAGCCUGAUCCAGCCAUGCCGCGUGUGUGAAGAAGGUCUUCGGAUUGUAAAGCACUUUAAGUUGGGAGGAAGGGCAUUAACCUAAUACGUUAGUGUUUUGACGUUACCGACAGAAUAAGCACCGGCUAACUCUGUGCCAGCAGCCGCGGUAAUACAGAGGGUGCAAGCGUUAAUCGGAAUUACUGGGCGUAAAGCGCGCGUAGGUGGUUCGUUAAGUUGGAUGUGAAAUCCCCGGGCUCAACCUGG